AUGGCUGCAUCCUCAUCCUAUAGCUCAAAUAAUGACAUGGUCAAGCUCAAACCUAGAGGUGGCGGUGGAGCUCGGAGUUGGAAGGCAACGUGGGAGCACGUGUGGUCAGAUUAUAGUGGCAAGGGUACUGCAAGGCUAAACGUCUUCUCUUUAAUGUCAAGCAGAAAAAAAAGGAGACGAUGCCUGAUCGACGAAAACGUCGUGCACAACACCCGGAAAGCUCUAAUGCUGCUGGGAGGGCAUUUCUCCUUCUCAGGCGACCUCCUCGCCGAGGACCGGAUGCUGGAGCAGGCCGGCUUCGCCGCCGACUCACCUGCCGCCGCACCCGUCACUUCCGACGCAACAGUGCAGGAGACGGAGGCGGCCGAGAACGAGGCGUGGCUGGAGCACAUGACGGCUGUGCUCCUCGGCAGCGGGAGGAGGCCGUUCCUGGCGGCGCUGACCGGGUGCCUGGGCUCUCCCGACGCCGGCCUGGUGGCCGCCUGCCUGACGACGGCGGGGUGGCUGAGCCGUUCCCUAGCAUCGUCGCCGCUCCGGGACACGCACACGGACAUGCAGCUCGCCGCGUUCUCGGCUCUGGUCCCGCGGCUGAAGCGGUGCCUGGCCGGCGGCGCCGCCCACCUGCAGCCCCGGCACAGGGUGCUCGCCGCCGUUACGCUGCACAACUUCAGCAAAAUCCCAGACUGCACGGUCCUGCUGAUGCUGCCUGGCCGACCUCGCCGAGCUGACCCGGACGGCCGGUCAACUGUACGCCGAGCUCCACGAGUGACGACGCUGACCUCGGGCCCACACGGGAGUCGCCGGGGCCGGCCUCUCGUGCUCUCCGCGCGGAAGAUUCAGCGGAGAAAAGUAUGCGCGGGAGGGAGGCGCUGA
This 873-nucleotide ribosomal RNA is filed under the name Triticum aestivum (bread wheat). Its description in RNAcentral is "partial small subunit ribosomal RNA". Lineage: Eukaryota; Viridiplantae; Streptophyta; Magnoliopsida; Poales; Poaceae. The record is from RNAcentral.